UCCCUGGUGGUCCGGGGGUUAGGACUCCACACUUCCAAUGCAGUGGGUACAGGUUCAGUCCCUGGCCAGGGAA
RNAcentral lists this transfer RNA (73 nucleotides) under Capra hircus (goat). It matches the Rfam family "tRNA". Rfam says of the family: Transfer RNA (tRNA) molecules are approximately 80 nucleotides in length. Their secondary structure includes four short double-helical elements and three loops (D, anti-codon, and T loops). Further hydrogen bonds mediate the characteristic L-shaped molecular structure. tRNAs have two regions of fundamental functional importance: the anti-codon, which is responsible for specific mRNA codon recognition, and the 3' end, to which the tRNAs corresponding amino acid is attached (by aminoacyl-tRNA synthetases). tRNAs cope with the degeneracy of the genetic code in two manners: having more than one tRNA (with a specific anti-codon) for a particular amino acid; and 'wobble' base-pairing, i.e. permitting non-standard base-pairing at the 3rd anti-codon position. The record is from Rfam by way of RNAcentral. Lineage: Eukaryota; Metazoa; Chordata; Mammalia; Artiodactyla; Bovidae. RNAcentral also lists the same sequence under 1 other name.